RNAcentral lists this non-coding RNA (27 nucleotides) under Homo sapiens (human). The record is from RNAcentral. Lineage: Eukaryota; Metazoa; Chordata; Mammalia; Primates; Hominidae.
UCCAGGCCUAGGCCAAGUGAUUGGUGA